UACGUAGGUGGCGAGCGUUGUCCGGAUUUACUGGGCGUAAAGAGCGCGCAGGCGGCCGUACAAGUCGCGUGUGAAAGCCCCCGGCUCAACUGGGGAGGGUCACGCGAUACUGUUCGACUCGAAGGCAGGAGAGGGAAGUGGAAUUCCCGGUGUAGUGGUGAAAUGCGUAGAUAUCGGGAGGAACACCAGUGGCGAAGGCGACUUCCUGGCCUGUUCUUGACGCUGAGGCGCGAAAGCUAGGGUAGCAAACGGG
This 253-nucleotide ribosomal RNA is filed under the name uncultured bacterium. RNAcentral describes it as "partial 16S ribosomal RNA". It matches the Rfam family "Bacterial small subunit ribosomal RNA", at positions 524 to 776 of the family's 1533-position model. The record is from RNAcentral.